This 438-nucleotide ribosomal RNA is filed under the name uncultured bacterium. Its description in RNAcentral is "bacterial SSU rRNA". It matches the Rfam family "Bacterial small subunit ribosomal RNA", at positions 28 to 461 of the family's 1533-position model. The record is from RNAcentral.
GAUGAACGCUAGCGGCAGGCCUAAUACAUGCAAGUCGAGGGGUAACAGGAAGUGCUUGCACUUCGCUGACGACCGGCGCACGGGUGAGUAACGCGUAUACAAUCUACCUCAUACUAGAGGAUAGCCCGAAGAAAUUUGGAUUAACACUCUAUAGUAUCAUUUAAAGACAUCUUUUUAUGAUUAAAGGUUACAGGUAUGAGAUGAGUAUGCGUUCUAUUAGUUUGUAGGUGAGGUAACGGCUCACCUAGACUGCGAUAGAUAGGGGCCCUGAGAGGGGGACCCCCCACACUGGUACUGAGACACGGACCAGACUCCUACGGGAGGCAGCAGUAAGGAAUAUUGGUCAAUGGACGAAAGUCUGAACCAGCCAUGCCGCGUGCAGGAUGAAUGCCCUAUGGGUUGUAAACUGCUUUUAUAUAGGAAGAAAAACUUUCUCGU